Molecule: non-coding RNA, 45 nt
Organism: Schistosoma haematobium
Lineage: Eukaryota; Metazoa; Platyhelminthes; Trematoda; Strigeidida; Schistosomatidae
Source: Rfam
AUCCAGCUGACGAGUCCCAAAUAGGGCGAAACGCGCAUCCUGGAC